RNAcentral lists this long non-coding RNA (8663 nucleotides) under Lactuca sativa (garden lettuce). RNAcentral's name for it is "long non-coding RNA (LSAT_LNC010137)". The record is from RNAcentral. Lineage: Eukaryota; Viridiplantae; Streptophyta; Magnoliopsida; Asterales; Asteraceae.
AUAACUAUUAAUAAGCUAAAAAGGGGUUUUUAUCUAAUUUUCCAAGUUUAGAUGAACUUAAUCCUUUAACAAAAACUCAAUCAAGAAACAAAACACUUAUGUUAGUUCGAAUCCGCUUUCACUCAAUGGUUAUACAGUGGCUAUGACUAUUACUGUUGGUGACCAAUUAAGGAAGUAUUAGCAAUUUAGUUCUAAAUCUACUAAUUAUUAAUCAAUUCAUGUAAAUCUAUUUAUGGUCAUACAAUAGUUAACACAAAAUCAAUUAUUAAAUAAGAUUGGAGCCAUGAAAGAUUGAUUACUCAAAACACAAUUACAGUCAUAAUAUGAGUUCUCUAACACAACUUGAUUUAAUGAUUCAAUUACUAAUAUAAGAUUGGUUUGAUCUUAGCUCCAAUAAACUAGUGUUCACUAUAUUACUAGGUAUUCAAGUUCAUCCAGAUUUGUGUUCACUAACUACACAGAACAAGAAUUCAAAGCAAUCAAAAAAUUAAUUCAAGCAUGCUAGGUAAAAUUAAUCAACACAAGCAUAUCACCAACAAUUAAAGUUAAGUCUAAUGCAUUAAAACCAUGAGUUCCAGCUUCAUCUAGCUAACAGGAGCAACUAGAUUUAGCUAGACAUAUUAACAGCUAAACAAACGAAUACUAUAAUCAAUAACAUGUUUAAAUGUACCAAUCUAUUAAGACAAAUUAUGAACUUCUCCUUCCUUGGUGUUAUAACCAAUUUCCAGAGCCUCUUUUCCUCUGAAUUUUGUCUCCAGGAAUCCUCCUCAGCCAGCCAAAGUCCCUCCCAAUCACAAUGGAGAAGGAUAUAUAUAUUUUCUGGAGAAUCACCGUUCACAUUGUGAGAAUUUAAAACUAACGUCGUGGACUCAAGGUAAUCGUGAUCGUCAAGGAUUCCUUCACCCGGAUGCUUAUCUUCUAACUUUUUCUACUCACGUCGUGAACCAUCAACUCUUCACGUCGUGAGUACGUCUUUUUUGGGUGUUUUUCUUGUCUUUGAAGCCUUCAACCUCCAAAGUUCCAUCCUUUAACGCUUUUAGUCCCUUUAUUGAAAAUGUUAUUUUGCUGCAAAAUAUAAUUUAACCUUAUAAGUAUCAUUAUUCUAUGCACAUGACCAAAAUAAAUAUAAAAAUGUACUUAAAUAUUGCCUAAAAAUAUGUAUAAAUAUGACAAUAUCAAAAUACCCCACACUUAGGCUUUGCUUGCCCUCAAGCAAAUCUACUUAUUUAAAAUCAAAGCUUUAUCACUAGCAUUUCAUAGAACAAUCCAAAUCCAGCUUAGCCAUUAUGCCAAGACCUCAACGCAUGCAUUUGUGUCAAAAAAAAAUUUCCUAAAGUACCCCCCAUCCUUUAAAUAGUCACAAUCUUCAUAUACAAUUACCCACUUCUUUCGAACAAUGCUCAUUUUAUGCAACCCUACGAAUCCAUCCUCAGAAAGCUUUUUAACCUCAAGAUAUUUUUGGUUAAGCUGCCUAAGCAUACAUAAUCUAGAAAUUACAACUUUAGAUACCACAAUGGAGCUCUGGGAAUUCUUCACUUCUUUGAUAUUUGAUCUUUGAUUGCUUUGAAUUCACCAUAUUUAUGAUUUUUGGUAUCUUCAACUUUUGAUUCUUUGGAAUUUUGAUCUUUGAUCUUCAUACUUUUUUAGUAAUUUCUCUCUUUUUUUCCUUUUUUACAUGUAUGACUCACUUUUUAUAUAUAUAUCACUGAAAAAUCUACAUGUUUAAGCAGGUGCACUUAACUUCAACCUUUAUUGGUUAAGACAUAUCUUUCCUGGAUACAUUCCAGGUUCAGGCUGCUAAGCAUUUUGCAUUCCUCAAUUUAAGCAGGGUCAUGUUUUUGUUCCAUGAUUUCACUAAAAGAAGGGAGGCCACAAAUGCACUAUAACGUGUAUUGGCUCAACUAAAUAUUUGAGCUCUUAUCGGAUCAUCCCAUAUAAUACUAAAAACUACACCUCAAAUUAUUAUUACUAGAUUUAAUUAUUAAAAAUUUCAAAAUUUUCCAUUAUCUAGCAAUUUACUUUUUCUACCCCUUACCCCACACUUAUUUCAUACUCCCCUGGGAUAGUGGCAUGAUCAUCUCCCAAAAGCGCGUAUAAAACGUGCAUCUUUAAUAUAUACUUUGAGAAAUAGAAACGUGGAUCUUGAAUACGCGAGAUAAGUAAUGUACUGGCAAAAUAUGGAAUCGAGUCUUCAAUCGUCAACAAAUGUGGUGCAGAAAAAUGUGAAAAAUGAACAGAAAAAUGUGGGAAAGCAUACGCCACAUUACAUGGUAGAGAAAAUGAGCCAUGGUUAUCUUCAUAAAAAUCCCAAAAAGAAUGGUGGUGAACCACAUAAUGAAUAUGGAAAAAUAAGACUCCCUUUGGGAAAAAAUACAAAUUCACGACGUGAAUCUUUAAAUAUUCACGACGUGAAUUCGAUUGGAAGCGGGUUCUGUAAAGUCACCAGAUACUGACUCACGAGGUGAAUAACAAAAGGGUCACGACGUGAAAACUGGAAUCACAUAAAUGUAUUUCUUCCAACCUUUCUUUCAAUUCUUAUAUUCAACCCCCAUAUCUUAAUGGAUUAAGACUCUUCUAACCCUAUUAAUUUUGACUCUUCUCUCUAACUUUCUUCUCACUUGACUCACCCCACACUUAAUUUAAAUUAUGGGUCUUGACUCUUGACUUUAAACACUCCCGGCUAAACACAUAUGCACACAUAUCUCGACAUCCUUUGUAUGCACUCCUAGCAAUUCUGAAAAAUAACUACCAAGAAGAGAAAAAGUAACAUAAUAUCUUAAUAGUUUUACAAUCCCAAACGAAUAAAAAUAAAAAGAAAAUAAAACUAAACUAAACAAAACUAAAAUAAUAAAAGAAAUGAUCAAUCAUCCUCGUCAUCCUCGUUCACCCCGCAAGUGCCCGCUCCGUCGCCUCCAUGUCCUCGAUACUCCGUCCACCUCAGGCAAAUUGGGUAAUGAUACCCCAAAUGAGGCGGCUGCUCCACCCCAAGGUGUCGAACGACGUUCUCCAUGGUGCCACCAAUCCAAUUGACACUCAAAGAUAACUGGUCAAAAUAACCAGCCAUAUCACCCCCAAAAAGUGCUCCUACCAUGGAUGCGGGUGGAUGCAUUGGUUGCCCUCUUUCUCCCCUUCCUCUUACGUUCCUGCACCUCGGCCUUGGUUGUGGUUCAGGUUGGUCGGCCGGCUACUCAUCACCAUUAUCAUUAUCCUCAAGAAUUCCCCAAUAUGUCCCAUAAUUCUUGACCACCUUCAUUGUCUCCAAAUACCCCAUACUAAACUCGUUCCCCUCCAUGCAUGUCAAAAACCGAGUGAUACCAGAAACAAUGAGGCCAUAAGAUCGGGCCAAGCGCGUAACAAAGUCCCCUCCACAAAUGGGGCUCCCGGAACGAGCACUCCUAGCAUACUCCACCAAGUAUCGGGCCAAGAAAUAUGGAAUGUUACAACACACUUCGGGCUGUAAAAUGCACCACAAAAGGAACAAGUUGGCCUUAGUAAGCUUAUCACGAUGGCGUUUGUGGUGAAUAGAAAAGGUAAUAAGGCGAUGGAUAAGGCGAUGUAUCGGUGAUUUGAUGCUACUUUCGGGGCAUACACCGGAAUUGAACACACCGGCUGCGAUAUUGCUCCAAAACUACGGUCCUGAAACACCAUUCGCAUAACCACAUGUGGCAUCCCUCAAAAAUAAAACAAACUCAUGAGUUAUGGUCUCAUGAGCCUCGUACAACCCCAUUCUUCGAGAAAACUCCACCAAACUGCACUCCCGAUAUUCCCCUCCUAGACGGAAAACCAAAGCUUGGGGGAAAGUAGGAUCUUGGACAUUCUCAUGGAAUGUCACCGGUGAAAAGAACUCCACGCAUAGCUCCUUAUAGACCCGAUGUUGGAUGGAAAACAAAUUGUACCACCCCUUGCACGUGAAGGAAAAUCCAUCGCCCAAAAAUAUCUUAGUAUGAUAUUGGGACAUCCGAUCCACCAGCCCAACCUCCCUCAACCGUGCCCACUGAAUAGUGGGGGCAAUAGCAAACUCCCGGUUAUAAAGUCAUCCCAACUGAUUAUUCCAUCGCGUAUAUAUAUCCCGGGGUGUAGUUGUUGGCAAGUUGUAAAAUGGAUGUAAACCCGCUACUUCAGUUGGAAUCUCUCUUCUGGGGGCCAUUUCUGCAAUAAACAGCAACAAACGUAUCCAAAAGAAACAAUCCAACAAAUUAGAAAUUAAUAGAACUGAAAAUGUCCAGUCCCAGUAUUCACGUCGUGAAUGCUUUAAGAUUCACGUCAUGAGUUCGCAACAUCAGCAAGCAGAAUCGCUAAAAUCAGGGGCAAAUCUGGUCACAAUAUUAAUGGGGUUUACUCCUAUACCAUUUCCAAACACAAAGCAUCAACAUUCCAAGGCUAUUACAGGAAUUUUAAGAAAUAAAUUUGACAUUUCAUCUAACUAACAAACCCUGACCCUAAGUUCAACUAUUAGACAAAAAUUAAACUUAAUAAUUAAGAAUCAUUACCUUAGAUUGUAGUAUGAGGUAAGCAAAAAUGAAAAUUGAGUGUUGUCGGCCAAAAUAGGAGCAAGGGGGGACCAGAUCUCGUGUUCCACUUCGUGAUGAAUAAAGAAAUGAGGGUCAAACUGAUUCUUAUCCCUUUAAUCUAUGGUCCUGUGUUUUUCAAAACUCAUGUCGUGAGUUCUUAAGGAUUCACGUCAUGAGUCUUAUAUGGGCUUAAUGUCGGGCCAUGCAUUCCUUAUUAAUAAUGGAUUAGUCUUGGGCCAAUUAGUUUAAUAGAACAUUGGCUAAUACGCAUCAUUGGUAUAUUAUCCGGUUUAUUCAGAAUUCACGUCGUGAGUUCUUAACUUUUCACGUCGUGAACCCUCCACGAAAUUCUUUUUUUGUUUUUAUUAAGUCAAGUUUGUCUAUUAACUAAAUUCUUAAUUAUUACCACUUCAUUUUUAGGGACCCCACACUCAGUGUUUAAUUAUGAAUAAAGCGAGUUGGAUGAUAUGAUCUAUCUUUUAAAGAUUAAAAUGCAAAAACUAAAAAGAAAAGAAAGAAAGAAAAAAAAUUGCAAACCAAACUCAGGUUGCCUCCCGAGAAGCGCUUCUUUUUCUUGGAGUCAUGAGCUGGACUCCGUGCCUCAUAUGUUAAGUCAUCCGAAGAAUCCACCACUAGGAUCGUUUGUUCCUUGAAACGCCUCUUGUAAGCUUGAACUCGUCUUUUGUACGCCUUUUUCGAAUUUUCCUUUUUAGCUUUUACCUCGUCUUCAUCAAGCUUGCGUUUGGUCCCUUUAGUUUCUUCCUUGCACUCCAUAGCAUUCUUCUCUUCUUUCACCACUGGAGUUGUUACUUUUGAAGUAACCUCCCCUUCAUCACUCGUUAUCUCGUCAUCUUCCUUGCUCACCCAAGAAAUUGGACUCAUGUAGGAAAUGACUUCAACUAAAUAUGGAACAGAUGCUCUUGGUUUUGUUCUUUUAACUUGAUGAAUUGUCUUGAUCUCUUCUUGCAUCUCUAAUUCUUCAAGUUCAUUGUCUUCAUCAAUCUUGAACACCUCUUCUUGAGAAUGAUUCCCUUGAAAGCCAUCUUCUACCUCAAAAAUUUCCUUUUCAUUACCAACCCUGAAGGUGAGCUUAGAAUCCCGAAUAUAAACAAGAGCUCCAGCAGUGUUUAGCAGCAGGAGACCAAGAAUAAUUGGAACAUUGGGAUCUUCUUUCAUGUCCAAUACCACAAAGUCUAUUGGAAAAACGAAGUUCCCAAUUUUUACUAAAAUAUCUUCCUCAAUGCCCCAGGGUUGUGUCACCUAACAGUUCGCCAUGUGAGUAGUCAUCCUUAUAGCCUUCAACUUCUGAAUAUCCAACUUCUGAUAAAAUGAAUAAGGCAUCAAAUUUAUGCUAGCCCCAAAAUCGGCUAAACCAUAAACCUUCAUGUUGUUUCCAAACUCACAUGGAAGAGUGAGGCGUCCAGGAUCCCCCAUCUUCUUAGGUAUGUCUUCCAAUACAGCCCUUGAACUUUGCUCACUUAGAAUAACUUUAGAAUUCUUCUUUAGUUGCUGACGAGUGUCUAUCAAGUCUUGUAAAAAAAUUUCAUAUUCGGGAAUUUUUUAUAACGACUCGACAAAGCGAGUAUUAAUCGGGAUACCCUUCACAUGCUUAAUAAACUCUAUAUGCUCUCUUUCCAGUGGACUAAGGGCAGCUCGGGAAGGAAACGGCAAAGGUGGUUGAUAUGCUGAAACAAAGAUGGACUUUUUUUGUUCAGACAGAGCCCACGACGUGAAUAUAGCGGGCUCACGUCGUGAAUUGGGUGUUCCAGCAUCUUCUUCAUUUUUGAGCUUUGGCUUCUUUGGCUUUGGAUCGGGUUGUUGUGGCUCCACUUCUAAUGCUUCUAGGAACUCAGAGAUGGCCUCUUCUUCAGUAUCUAUGGCCAUUACGUGAGAUUGGGUCUUCUUUUCAGGAUUUUUUGGGGACAGCUUCUCAUGAACCAAAGUGGUUAGUUGACCAAGUUGCACUUCAAGAUUAUUGAUGGAGGCUUGUUGAUUUUUUAUUAGAGCCUGCUGUUCUACCAUCAUUGCGUGAUGAUUUUUUAUCAAAGUUCUUUGUUCAUCUAUAGUAGAAUCAAUAGCCUCGUGUCUCUUUUCUGAAGCCUCCAUAAACUUAACUAACAUGGUCUCUAGAUCUGGUUUUUUCUCAUCUAGUGGCUGCUCCUUUUGGUAGAAGCCUCGGCUUGUUUGCCUAUACUUCUCUUCUUUUUGCUUCUAAUAUUCUUCAUAUGGCAGCCACUCUUUCUUCGGUUUCCUCUAGUCUUCAUCGUACUUGUCCCCACUUGAAUAGUAUACUUGAGCCUUUUUAUUCCCAAAUUCAUCCAAAUUGCAGUCCUUGGUCAAGUGUGGACCAUUACACCAUUCGUAACCAACUCUUAUAGCAUGAAUUGAUUGGUCCAUUUGUGUUAACCUCCGGUCCAUAUUAUUUAGCAUAGCCAUCAUAGCUGCUAUUUCUUCAGUUUGUGCACCUCCACUGCCUUUGAUUCCAUUUUUCCUAUGGUUAUGGUACUCACGAGAGUGCUUCGCGAAUUCUUCAAUCAGCUCCUGGACCUCCUUUGGACUUUUCUUUGUCAAAGGUCCUUGAGAAUCAAGGAGCUGUCUUGUCUUAACAUUGACCCCAUCAUAGAAUAUUGACAUCUCUUGUUGAACAUUAAGAUCAUGCUGAGGGCAAUAUCUACUCAAGCCUUUGGUUAGAUAUUGACUCCCCCGCCUGUUGUUCAAAGUUGGCUAUUGCCUUCUUGAGUUUAGCUAUCUUGGAUGGUGGGCAAAAUUGGUUAAGAAACUACUCACGCAUUUGAGCCCAAGUGGUGAUCGUACCCGGUGGAAGUGAUUUUAACCACUCUUUAGCAGCUCCCUUAAAAGUAAUGGGAAGCAUCCUGAGCAAGACGGUGUUUCUAUUGACAUUUGGGAUAUUGAAGUAAUACGCAAUGUCAUUGACUUCAUCGAGAUGCUUAAAAGCAUCCUCAUGAUCCUUCCCAUAAAAUGGGAUAUCCUUCACUACAGUUAAGAUGUGUUCCUUCAGCACGAAUGUGGCAGUGGCAGGUAUUGCGGGUUGGACUAAAACGGGACCCACAUCCUCUCGGAUCCGCUUCUUGUAAGCUCCCAUGGACAUCUCCUCAAUGUUUACCAUUUCGUCCUCUUGCUUGUCUUCGGGCUCACUCGCAAAUAUUUCAAACUCUGGGUCAGACUCGUAUUCAGAUUCGUGUGGAUUAGAAACUGGACCAAGUUCUUCAACUUUGCCUUUCUCCUCUGAGGUUGAACUUGACUCUCCUGUCUUCUUUCCUGACUUCCUUGAAAAAGCUGAUUUUAGUUCUUGCAAUGGCGUCUGCUUUGGCGUUUGAUUUUCCUUCGCGUUCUUCUUCUUAUUUUUGUGAAGGGCAGACUCCAAAUCUUCAAGUGGCGGCACCAAAGGUGUAUUAGAGCAUCUGGUGAUGAACUCCUGCAAACUAAACAAAAUAACAACGUAAAAACGAACUAAAAUAGAAAAAUAAACUAAAAACUAAAGAAACCUAAAAAUCACAGUUCUCACAUCGUGAGGCUAUAAACACACGUCGUGAGUUCUGUAAUCAAAAAAAAAUCGAACCCUCCUAAAGACAAAAUGAAUAGAAACUGAUAACUACUAAAUUCACAUCGUGAGAGGUGCCCUCACGUCGUGAAAACUAAACAAACAAAAUAAAAACUAAUGCUAAAAAAAACUUUGUUGGAAAAUUAACUUUUUGCAUGAUUUAUCCGACAAAAGGGAUCGAUUAACCUAAAGCAAAUAAAUAAAUAAUAAACUAAGCCGUUCCCCAGCAACGGUGCCAAAAACUUGAUGUGCACGAUAGUACCCAUUAAUUUUAUAAUCUAUAACCUAACUAACUAACUAACUAAAAUGCACCUAGGAAGUGUACCUAGUCGAAUUAUAUAAUAGUUUGGUAAGUUGGGUGUCGAUCACAGGGAACGGUGUUAUUAAUUAAUCUAUCCAAUAAACUAGUGCUCACUAUAUUAUUAGGUAUUCAAGUUCAUUCAGAUCUGUGUUCACUUACUACACAGAACAAGAAUUCAAAGCAAUCAAAUAAUUAAUUCAAGCAUGCUAGGUAAAAUCAAUCAACACAAGCAUAUCACCAACAAGUAAAGUUAAGUCUAAUGCAUUAAAACCAUGAGUUCCAACUUCAU